GACUUCCUUUUUGUCACAUAGACUGAAGUUGGAACAAUAUAGAGAUUAGCGUGGUUCCUGCACAAGGAUGAUACACAGGCAACACAACUAGAACAAGAUAUUUUCAACUGCUAAAGGACCCAAACUGGAUGAAUUGAUAUAAGGCAAUGUGACAGGUAGCUCUUAACAAGUAUAACAGAAAUUAUAUAUACACAUAAGUGUUGUUCCUUUCAAAAUAAUCAACCCCUGAGUUACAAAGUUAUAUAUAAAGAAUAUAUAGCCCUAGUCGGUUUGGCUCAGGUGGUAGAGCGUUGACCUGCAGACCAAAGGGUCUCAGGUU
Molecule: long non-coding RNA, 319 nt
Organism: Myotis lucifugus (little brown bat)
Lineage: Eukaryota; Metazoa; Chordata; Mammalia; Chiroptera; Vespertilionidae
Exons: 3
Source: RefSeq, a predicted model, not a curated record